Cricetulus griseus (Chinese hamster) is the source of this 106-nucleotide small nuclear RNA. Lineage: Eukaryota; Metazoa; Chordata; Mammalia; Rodentia; Cricetidae. The record is from Ensembl.
GUACUUGUUUUGGCAGCACAUAUACUAAAACUGGAAUGGUAAAGAGAAGACUAAUGUGGACCCUCCCCAAGGAAGACACCCAAUUCAUGAAGCAGUCCGUAUUUUU